Molecule: ribosomal RNA, 449 nt
Filed under: uncultured bacterium
Lineage: Bacteria
Description: partial 16S ribosomal RNA
Rfam family: Bacterial small subunit ribosomal RNA
Source: RNAcentral
AGCGAACGCUGGCGGCAGGCCUAACACAUGCAAGUCGAACGGAUCCUUCGGGAUUAGUGGCGGACGGGUGAGUAACACGUGGGAACGUGCCCUUUGGUUCGGAACAGCUCAGGGAAACUUGAGCUAAUACCGGAUGUGCCCUUCGGGGGAAAGAUUUAUCGCCAUUGGAGCGGCCCGCGUCUGAUUAGCUAGUUGGUGGGGUAAAGGCCCACCAAGGCGACGAUCAGUAGCUGGUCUGAGAGGAUGUUCAGCCACAUUGGGACUGAGACACGGCCCAAACUCCUACGGGAGGCAGCAGUGGGGAAUCUUGCGCAAUGGGCGAAAGCCUGACGCAGCCAUGCCGCGUGAAUGAUGAAGGUCUUAGGAUUGUAAAAUUCUUUCACCGGGGACGAUAAUGACGGUACCCGGAGAAGAAGCCCCGGCUAACUUCGUGCCAGCCGCCGCCGUAA